UUGAUUUAUCUAUCUACUAAUUUAUUAUGUUUUAAAGUUUAUUCUUUAUGUUGUAUUAAUUGGAUGGAAAGGUUUUUGUUGUAUUUUCUUUUUUCGUUUAUGGAGUAAAUAAAUCAAAUGAGUUUGGGCUUAGUUUGGUUUUAAAUAAAUUGAAAGUUGUUUGAGAGUCACGAGAACUCUGAUUGUAUUCUAAUUCAUUAUUUCUCCCUUUCUUUCUACGCAGAGCUCUAAAUUUUUAAUCUUUUUUUCUCUCUCUCUCUUGUUCUCUGCUCACCCCAAGCCAAGCCUUGAAGCUCCCAAGUUAUCAAGUAACACUAUAUAUCCGUCGUUGUCUAUUUUGCUAUUAAUUGUGCGUUUAAGAAAAUAUACAAAAUAUUUUUAAAGUAAAAAAAUAUUAUUUAUAUAAAAUUUUGAUUUUAAUUAUAUAUGCUUAGAUAGUUUAAUCUAAUAUUUGUCUAUAUAAUUUAUUUAUUUUUUAGCCGCAUAGAUGAAAGUGUAUAAUAUAGAGAUUGAAGACGGAAGAGAUAACAUGUGAGGCCAAAAAGAUUAAACAUUCAACUCAUAAGUUAUUUUUCUUCAUAUUAUAAUACUGUAUUUCAUGUAAUUAUGUUGUACUUUAAACUAUUAAACAUAUUUUUGUAUCAAAUUGUAGAUAAUGUUCUAUACAAAUUAAACUAUUGAUCGUACGAGGUUGAGAAUUUCAAGCGGCUCGUUUAGGGUUCGAGCUCGCUCGACUUGAAAUUAGGCUCGAUCGAGCUCGGCUCGAAUUAAUUUCAAACCAAGCUUGAGCUUAAAUUUAGGCUUGAAAUUAAUUUCAAGCUGAAUUUGAGCCGAAAUAAGCUCGCUUGAGCUUGGCUCGUUUCCACCCCUAGUUACGUGCGAUGAAAAAGUACGUUGAAAAAAUACCAUAUUUGUUUCGGUACGUAAUAUUGCGUUCGGCAUAUCGCGAUGAGUAGGUUAUUAUAUAUUUUCUGCGGUUCUAUCGAAAAACGUAGAAGCACAUCCCUAUAUAAUUUUUUCUCAUAUUUCUAUAUAUUUUUUUCUCAACUCCAGUUUAUUUAAUAGUAUUUGAUAAAUCUUAAUACCAAACUAAGCCUUAAUAGAUGGAAUGCUCCCCUACUUAAUAGGAUCCUAACUGGAUUCCCAAUUUUAACCGGUUUGUGUUGUGGGCGAAAUUCCUUACCCGGUUUCCUACGGAGUCAACUUCGGGUUCGGAUCCAUCGCUCGUCUUCUUCCGCGCCCUCUUCUCUCUCUCUCUCUCUCUCUCUCUCCCGAAUCACUCUCCCGGAACCCUUUUAUUUUCACCAUCUCCGUCUCUCUUAGAAUUUUCUCAUCAUCGACUACGCCACCGACGUAGCUACUCUUCGAAGCACUCUUCUUCGUUACUGCGAUCCCCACCGAGGUGCGUUAGAUCUCACUUUUGUAAUCGUUUUUUUAAUUUUUAUUUUUAGAUGCCAAAAUCGAACGCACUACUUUUCCAAUUAUGAUUCGAUCUGAUCCGAAGACGAACCCUAAUUAGCUCAAUUUCUCGCUCGAUUCCUCGUUGCUCUUUUGUUUUUCCCUCAAUUCUCUGCUAGUAGAUCUCUUCGCUCGAUGUAGAAUUGAUAAUUGCUUUACUGCUAUUCGUUUAUCUGAUCUCUACUUUUUUUGGAGCGGGUAAUUUAUUAGAUCUAAUCAGUUAUUUUUUCCGUUUUAUUUCGUUAUACUACAAAAAUGUCGCUUGUUGUGAGAUUCUCCUUUAGUUGCAGCUAAGAAUGAAAUUUUCGGGGGGCCAAAGUGUUUUAUUGAUAUGAAAUGGUACAAUAAAUAUGUUUUAGGACGCUAAAUUGCUAAUUUUAUGUAUGGCAAUUACUAUUAUUUAAAAUGAGUAAGUGAAAGAUCUUAAGGAAGUCGAAUUUAUUAUAUUCAUUAUUUUGUGCAGAGUAGUCGCAAGAAGAACAAUUGAUAUUAGCGUGAUUAUUAGUUGGUCAUUUUUUCCAUUUUGAAGAGCAUAACUCGAGUAAAUAAUAGUUGAGAAGAGAGACGCAUCACAGCGAUGUUUUCGUUGUUUUAUGGACUCUGGAAGUAUAUGCUCAGCAAGACAGAGUUUCAUGUUCUUAUUCUUGGAAUUGAUAAGGCUGGAAAAACUGUAAGUGUUCUUUCGUAUAUGCUUUAUUAUUCGUGCACUAAAAGGUCGAUGUUGUUGAGUCAUCUGAAUCUUAUAUAUAUAUUUUUUGUUGAUAUGUUCGAGCUGCUUCGCCUUCUCUGUGAUCAAUAGUUAUAAUCAAUAUGUGACUAAUGAUUGUAAUAUAUCCUGGAUGCAUACGAAGCAUAAUUUAUGCUUUUCCUCUUGUAUUCUUAGUAGUCACUAUAGGAAGCAAAUCUUGGUUCAGAACUUGAAUUUAUACUUCUAUACUUUUGGUCAACAAAUUGAACACGAGUUAUAGUACUCUUUCAGAGGUCAAUAACUAGUUUUGAUCGGCAUUCUAGGCUCCAUUGCGCAUGGAUAUCAUGUUUCGACAACAGUUUUCAUAGCUGGUAAAGUUGCUUGCAUUUACAUUGAAAGGUUUAAGCUAAGCUGAGUUCAUCAUCUCUUAUUAAGUUCCGGAGAUAGCAUUCUCUGUGCCUUUUUUGGGUGGGGCAUUGGUAUAUGAUUCCUGUGAGGCAUAUGCUUUGUUAACAGCUUUUUUCAAAAGAUCUGAUCAACAAAUUGACUUUGAAGAGAUGUUGUGUGCUUAUGCAAUCAUUAGCUGUUUCUGUUACUUAAAUGUACUGGGAUUGCCAUUUAUUAUAUUCCUAUUUACGUAGACGUUGUUGGAGAAGCUGAAGUCAAUAUAUUCGAAGAUGGAAGGGCUCCCACCUGACCGCAUUGUUCCCACCGUUGGGCUUAAUAUUGGCCGCAUUGAAGCUGCAAAUGCAAAACUUGUAUUUUGGGACUUAGGAGGUCAGGUAUGGUUCUUAUUGAAAUUUGCGAUCUCUGAUUUAUCAUGACUUAUGCAGUGUUUGCCAUUUGUUUGUUAGUCUCUUGUAAGCUUUGUAGUCAGUUGUCCCUCUUAGGAAUGAAAUACUUGUUUUUUAAUUAGUGAGUUACAAAUUUCUUAAAACCAUCAAGCAAUAGCAGAUACUUGUAAUAUUAUGCAUGCUAUUUUUCUUUUUUCUUCUUUUUUGGGUGGAGAAGAUUGCAUACGCUUGUUUCUGAAGAUAAAGAUGAAUAUAUAUUACUCAAUUUGCUUGGUACACUUGGUCCUAGAAGAACUCCAUAUUAUGGCAUAACUUAUACUCUUAGUAAUGAGGCGUCAACUUAUUCUUGCAGGUUGGCCUGCGCACAAUUUGGGAGAAAUAUUAUGAGGAGGCUCAUGCCAUAAUAUAUGUUAUCGAUGCUUCUUCUCCAUCAUCAUUUGAAGAUGCAAAGUCUGCACUGGGUUAGUUCAUUAAUUAUCUUAAGGAAGCUAAGUACAUGCAUUUGUUUUAGACCGCUGUUGUGAAGAGCCAUUGAUUGAAUACAUUCAAGUUCAACUAAUUUGGUUCUUGUAUUAUUAUUUCUUAAUGGAAACUUGAAAUUGUUUGCAGAAAAAGUGCUUCGGCAUGAGGAUCUGCGGGGGGCACCACUUCUUAUAUUGGCAAACAAGCAGGUCUGAACUGUUUUACCCUCUAAUUUUCUGAAAUGAUUUCACCGCUAUAUUUAUUACUUGUGGUAUGAAUUACUUAAAAUAAGAAAAGUGAUGAUAUAGAACAUGCAGUGAAGCAUGCCCCACAUAGACAGCCAUUCCACAAACAUUUGCAUCUUAUUAGUCAUUUUUUAGGGUGAAAAGGUGAUAUUGUUUCUUUUCAACAGGAUCUACCAGGAUCUAUCUCAGCUGAAGAUGUGGCAAGGUACUUGGAUCUUAAGGAGUUGGACGAGAGGUUAUACAUGUUUCAAGCUGUAUCUUCAUAUGAUGGGUGAGUAAAAACAACCUCACUUAAAGAAAAGCAUACCAUUCUGCGUACGAGCAAGUUAUCUUGAUGUAGGAUACGACAUCUAUAUGUCCCUGAGAUCUUACUCUCAUUUCAUUGUAAACUCGAUCUCUUAUGGUGAUCUUGCUCUCAAUCAUCCAUAAACUCGACGAGUUGCACACAGGACGGGGAUAAAAUUCGGCAUCGACUGGUUGGUGGAGGUCAUGGAAAGAAGCAAGCGAACAGAAAUAUUAAGAGUACGGGCAGGUGCAGCGGGACAUGUUUAGCACUUCCUCUCUAUUUGGUCUCGAAGAACUUCUCGAGCAAAAGAUAUAGGUGAGUACAUACUGUUUGGUCACUUAGAAUUGGCAUUCCUUGCUGUAUGCAUUUUAUUUGAGUCUGCGAUCCGUUGAUACCAUGAUUCUUGUUGUUCUUUGACGAUCCAAUUCCUACUUACUGUUGAAAAUUUUCAUCUGCAACUCUCUUCUUUUUUUUUUCGUCUUUUUUCCAACAAUCAGGUGAUCCUUAAAUCAUUCACCUUUAUACUUUGGCUUGUAUUGUACUUUUACAUUGAUACAUGUUGGUAGGUAUUUUAUAUAUACGGUAAAAAGUCAAUGAUGAUGCAAAUUUUUUUUUAUUUUUUUAUUUUUCAGGAGUUAACUGAUGGUAGGAUCAAAAUUAGGAACAUUUAAUCAUAUGCUUCUCCUCAAUUUAGCUAAAUAUGUAAAGUAACGAAACAUUAAAUCUGAUAUCUCGGAUAUCAACUAUUUUUGCUUUUUUGCUAUCUGCUCUAGGAACGGUCGGUAUAAUUGGAACUUCUUUACAAGUGAUGUUUGCAUAAAAUUGUUUAAAGAUACAUUGACAGUCAUAUUCAUCAAAAAAAUUUCCAACAAUUUUGUGUUACAACAACUACCAUAUUUCUAGUUAGAAGAAGCUUGGAAUGGAUGCUUUUGUUUUAGCGUCACAAAACAUUUCGGCUUUCUCAAAAAUCACUUGUUGCCGAAUGUUGCUCUUGUUCUAAAAUCAAAUCGAGCAGAAAAAGAAUGGAGUUUUAUUUUGUUUUGAAAGGAAUUAGAUAGUGAAAGCUAAUAGAUGGGCCCAUCCGCCUAACCAUCUCUAUAAAUAUCGCAUCAUUAACUCAUCCAUCAGAAGCACUUAGGGGCUGUUUGGUUGCACGUGCAGUUGCAAAUGUAUACAAUCUCAAUUUCCAUAUUUGGUUUAGUACAGUUGAGUCCAACUGUUGCAGUUUCAACUGUACAAGAAGGUCCAAAUGCUACAGUUGAAACUAUAUCCAAAUUGGCUGCAGUUUCAACUGCAGCAGUUGGUAAGGAUUAGAAUCACCCACAAAUUAACAAUAAUAAAUAAAUAAAAAAAAUAAAUAAAUAAUAUAUUUAAUUAUUUUAAUCUGAAAAUUUUUUACAGCCUGAACAUUAACAGGGCCAUAACCGUUGAGUUUACAAGACCGUGCCUCAAUAACGCAACGGUCAUUAGAACGUUAACGCGGCUCGGUCUAUAAACCCCGGCUCAGGGAAUAGCUUCUCCCAUCCCAGAGACCCAGAGCGCUUUCCCGCCAAAAUCAGCCUCCGCCUUCCCCAAAGGGCCCAAGAUACGGUGCGGUCCCGGAGCGUCGCCCAAACCCUAGCUUCGAUCGCCCCUUCCUUCAAACCCUCCCAUGGCGACAUCGCCCACUGCAUCGGAUCCUCCCUCCUCUCCGAUCGCCGCCUCAGAUACCGCCGAUAACAAUCUCCAGGUCCCUGCUCCACCCCCCUCUUCUCUCUCUCUCAUCAUUGCUCAUCCUUUCGUCCUGAUUCUUCUGUUCUUUUCUUGUUGCAGCCAUUUUUUGUUUUGCACAAAGCAUUGCCUGGGAAAUCCGAGAAAAGGGCUUCUGGAUCCGGGAGAACCAGANUUUGAUUUACAUAUUAAAAUUAAAUAAAUUAAAAUUUUAAAUGUGUCGAUUAAUAAAUUAAAGAAUUGUUGAAAAAUAUAAAAAUAUUAUAUAUAUCUAUCUAUUUAUUUAUAAAUAGUAAGUUUAAAUAAUUAAUAAAAUUAUAUAAUUAUUUUAUGCAUAGUGAAGGUAAUCUCACCAAACAAAAUUCACAAAUAUAACUAUUAGCUUCAUAUUACCAAACAGAAAAAAAAUGUAUCUACAGCAGUUGCAACUGUAUAAAACCAAACAGACUAGGUGUAGUUACAACUAUAGCAUUUACAGCUGCAUGUAUUUUCAACUAUACUGUUUCUGUAACUACAUCCAACCAAACGGCUUACUGAAAAAGCCACGCCUUUGGCUUUGACAUUUUUACCCUUCCA
This 6219-nucleotide long non-coding RNA is filed under the name Ananas comosus (pineapple). RNAcentral describes it as "long non-coding RNA (ACOM_LNC000099)". Lineage: Eukaryota; Viridiplantae; Streptophyta; Magnoliopsida; Poales; Bromeliaceae. The record is from RNAcentral.